This is a small nuclear RNA of Hyaena hyaena (striped hyena), 104 nucleotides long. The record is from RefSeq and is a predicted model, not a curated record. NCBI's taxonomy places the organism in Eukaryota, Metazoa, Chordata, Mammalia, Carnivora, Hyaenidae.
GCUCACUUCUGCAAACAUAUGCUAAAAUUGGAAUGAUACAGAAAAGAUUUGCAUGACCCCUGCGUAAGGAUGACAUGCAAACUCAUAACAUGUUCCAUAUUUUU